AAACUUUGAGCAGAUCACUCCUGAACCGUUCCCAAGCUUCACUAAAGCUCUCGUUGCUGUGCUGCGUGAAACUUGAGAUCUGAUUCCUGAGCUU
Molecule: small nucleolar RNA, 94 nt
Filed under: Eutrema salsugineum
Lineage: Eukaryota; Viridiplantae; Streptophyta; Magnoliopsida; Brassicales; Brassicaceae
Description: Plant small nucleolar RNA R71
Rfam family: Plant small nucleolar RNA R71
About the family: R71 is a member of the C/D box family of snoRNAs containing the C (UGAUGA) and D (CUGA) box motifs.
Source: Rfam by way of RNAcentral